This 402-nucleotide ribosomal RNA is filed under the name Triticum aestivum (bread wheat). Its description in RNAcentral is "partial small subunit ribosomal RNA". Lineage: Eukaryota; Viridiplantae; Streptophyta; Magnoliopsida; Poales; Poaceae. The record is from RNAcentral.
AUGAACUUUAUUUUCAUGCAGCAAGAUGAGCAGGAAAGGCAGCAGAGAUUUAAAGAAUAUCAACACCAAGAGGAGCAAGCAACGAAAAAGGUUUGGGAGGAUCCUGUCGUAACACAGGUUAAUAGGGCUCAAGCUGCUACAGCAAGAGAAGAGGAGGUUAGUAGGGCUCAUUCUUCUACAGCAAGGCAAACCAUUGUGGAGAAAAGAAAGCUAGAUGAUAUGGAAGCAAUGAGGUUAAGAGUUGAUGAGGAGAGGUACAGGGCAUGGCUGCAAAAAGAAGAGCAGAUGGAGCAAGCAAACAGUCAACAAGGCACUUCCAACAAAAGAACUCUUCUCAGUCCGCAAAACACUCAAUUUAAGAUGCCAAGAAAAGUUAGUAUGUUUGAUUAUCUAAGGGAGUAG